This 255-nucleotide ribosomal RNA is filed under the name uncultured bacterium. Its description in RNAcentral is "partial 16S ribosomal RNA". It matches the Rfam family "Bacterial small subunit ribosomal RNA", at positions 524 to 776 of the family's 1533-position model. The record is from RNAcentral.
UACGUAGGCAGCGAGCGUUUGUUCGGAAUUACUGGGCGUAAAGAGUGUGUAGGCGGUGCUCUAAGUUCGGUGUGAAAUCUCCCGCUUAACUGGGGAGGGUGCGCCGGAAACUGGAGUGCUCGAGCGUGGGAGAGGAAAGCGGAAUUCCUGGUGUAGCGGUGAAAUGCGUAGAUAUCAGGAGGAACACCUGCGGUGUAGACGGCUUUCUGGACCAUUGCUGACGCUGAGACACGAAAAGCGUGGGUAGCAAACAGG